Molecule: long non-coding RNA, 828 nt
Filed under: Homo sapiens (human)
Lineage: Eukaryota; Metazoa; Chordata; Mammalia; Primates; Hominidae
Description: novel transcript
Source: RNAcentral
AGGUCUGUUCCCAAGAGUCCAAUCAGCUCUGGAUGCACUAACGGCACUGAGUUUCUGGACCUACGAGGCUGAUGACACCAUGGAGCCAUGGGCAGAGGUGUUAAGUGAGAAGCAGGCACUAUUUGAUAAUGGGCCAGGACAUUCCUACAGAAUUCCAAAAACCGUUCACCUGUGGCCAGCAGCAGAAGAAGGUAUGCAAAGAGAAGAGAAAGAAGGAUGCAAUGUCCACACAUGCUAAAGGAAGCUGGUAACUGCAACAGUCACAUGAGGAUGGAGAGUCUCUUCCUUGUACAGAGCAAAUAGCACGGCCCCUGGAGCUCAUUGGCAUGGGUUGUCCAACUCCCCACUGAAGGGAGCUUUGGGAGCCAUGGCUUACGGUGCAGACAUGGCCAAGUCCAAGAACCACAACACACAUGACCAGUUCCAAAAACGGCACAGAAAUGGUAUCAAGAAACCUCAGUCACAAAGAUCGGUGUCUCUAAAGGGGGUGGAUCCCAAAUUCCUGAGGAACAUGCCCUUUGCCAAGAAGCACAGCAAGAAGGGCCUAAAGAAGAUGCAGGCCAACAGUGCCAAGGCCAUGAGUGCACGUGCCAAGGCUAUCAAGGCCCUCGUAAAGCCCAAGGAGGUUAAGCCCAAGAUCCCAAAGGGUGUCAGCCGCAAGCUCAAUCAGCUUGCCUACACUGGCUACCCCAAGCUUGGGAAGCAUGCUUGUGCCCGCAUUGCCAAGGCGCUCAGGCUGUGCCGGCCAAAGGCCAAGGCCAAGGAUCAAACCAAGGCCCAGGCUGCAGCUCCGGCUUCAGUUCCAGCUCAGGCUCCCAAAGGUGCCCA